Long non-coding RNA from Tupaia belangeri chinensis (Chinese tree shrew), 2192 nucleotides. RefSeq lists it as uncharacterized. Lineage: Eukaryota; Metazoa; Chordata; Mammalia; Scandentia; Tupaiidae. The record is from RefSeq and is a predicted model, not a curated record. The transcript has 4 exons.
GUCCUGAAAAGUUUUUGUUUUAUUCAUGUUUGUAUCCUACUGUUUAGUACAGUGUGGUAGUAUAUAAUAGAUACUCAAAUAUUUGUUGAAUAAAUAUUCACUACAUCAUUAACAAUGUGUAUGUAGUCUUUUCUUAAAAGGCUCUCUUCUGUAAUAUCAGAUUGCUCAAAUUGAAUGUAGUAUUUCCUUAAAAAGCUUAAAAAGGAUAUUUUCCAAAAUAUAUCAGAACACUAGACUAGUGAACUUAUUCCUAGUGCUUUAAAAUAUUAAGAAAAAAGGGUAUUCUAUGGUUUUUCUUAAAAAAGGACAAAUAGUACAAACAUAAAUAUAAAUGCCUCUUAAGUGAAAAUCUAAAUUAAUGACAAACUUAAUUAUAAUUCUCAAUGACACUAAAUCUACAAAGUAUAGGACUUUUUCUUCACCUUUAUGCUUGAUUAGCCUAGUAACAUCUGAUUUGUUUCCUCCUGCAAUUUAAAAAUUUUCUCUGCUUAAAUAAUAAUUGUUUAAUAUUUAAAUCUGGACCCUGUAUACACAUGUAUGUAUCUUUAUGGCAGACGUUUGUGUGACAUUAGUAAUAUUUUUCCCACCCCACCCCACCCCCCAAAAAAAAAACACCAGGCAAAACUUUAAGGGAAUGGUAUUCGUAGGAACUCAGAUUAGGUACUCAUCAGAGAAUCUGAGUUUCUGCGUUACUUUUAGAAAUAUCUAAAAUAGAUUAAAACAGGAAGUCAGAAGUUCUUCUGUCUUUUCACUACUUUAUCACUAAAAUAAAGGAUGAAGGAAUUAACGACGUUAAGGUUACUGGAUGUAAACACAACUCACACUUUCCAUUGAACACACAGCAGCCACCUACUAAUACGGGCCUGAAAAUCACACUGAAAUACAUACUGGUCCACAAAAUCUGAAGGGAAAUCUGCCAUGUCUGGUAUAUUCACUCAGUUCUCUUAAGUGGCCAUUGCCAAGGUCGCAUUAAUAAGUCUCCUUUGAUGUUAAUGAUUGGGAGCGUUCCCGGCAGGGGGCUAAAAGCUGACUUUCCAAGCUGGACGUUGCUUGGAAAUACCUAGAACAAACUCCACAGCCAUUCGGAUUAAGUGAACCGAACGGACUCGAAACAUGCGGAUAAAAAGGCCUUUCCUCCGCUUCUUUGACCCACAGUUUAUUUUUAACUAUUCAAUAUUUAUAACUCAGAGCGAAUUCUAAAGGCAAAUUAAGAACUGCCUGUUCACCAGAUCACUUCUGCGAGACGAACUCGGCUUCGGAGGGAGCCUGGCCUCGAGCCCGCCCGGGGCAGGGGCAGGACCGCACGCGCUGACCCUCUCCGCAGGGCGCGAUUCCGGCCCCGGGUUUCGGUUAGACCGCAGCAGGAAGCUUUCUCUUCCUCUGCGGGAGGCGGCGGAGCCAAGGAGAAACUUGAACUCCCACUCUCACGGGGCACGCAGAGAUGCAAUGGUUUAUCUCCCUUCAAAUGCAUGUGCUGAGAUUUGGUUGUGAAGGUAUUAACAGGAAACUUCAUACCUCCAUGGUGUUGACAGAUGGGGCUUCUGAGAAUAAUGACAUGAUUGACUCCUGGUGGUUUAUAAGGAGAAGGAAUGAGCCCAGAAGAGACAACUACAUGGAAUGUAGGGGUGUAUGUUCCUCUUCUCCCAUGGUGUGCUGCCCUGCGUGGCUUUGGGACCCCACCAACAAGAAAACCCUUUCCAGAUGUGGCCCCUGGACCUCCAAACCGUGAGCUGAACACACUUCUAUUCUCUUGAACUACUCACACUCAGAAUUGCAAGAAGAUGGAAAUCUACCAAGCUUUUUAAAGUCAUCUCGAGAGAGGGAGUCGUCUGCCUUCUGAACGGUUACCCUAUAUUCCCAAGUGACAAAAGAGAGAAUUAAAAUCAGCGAUGUUGAGAAAGGCAAGAAGAUUUUUGUUCAGAAGUAUGCCCAGGGCCACACCAUGGAAAAGGGAGGCAAGCACAAGACUGGCUCAAAUCUCCAAGGUCUACGUGGGCAGAAGACAAGUCAGGCCCCUGGAUUCUCUUACACAGAUUCCAACAAGAACAAAGGCAUCACCUGGGGAGAGGAUACACUGAUGGAGGAUUUGGAGAAUCCCAAGAAGGACAUCCCUGGAACAACAAUGAUCUUCACUGGCAUUAAAAAGAAGUCCAAAAGAGUGGAGUUGAUAGCUUAUCUUAAAAAAGCUACUA